RNAcentral lists this non-coding RNA (36 nucleotides) under unclassified sequences. RNAcentral describes it as "DUF805b RNA". It matches the Rfam family "DUF805b RNA". Rfam says of the family: Bacteroidetes, Chlorobi (1 example), Proteobacteria. Lineage (Flavobacteria) The record is from RNAcentral.
GAGGAGGAAUCCGAAAAGCCUUGAUUAGAGUAGGAA